GAGUACACUUUAAAUCCUUUAACGAGUAUCCAUUGGAGGGCAAGUCUGGUGCCAGCAGCCGCGGUAAUUCCAGCUCCAAUAGCGUAUAUUAAAGUUGUUGCGGUUAAAAAGCUCGUAGUUGGACUUGUGUCCCGCGCUGUCGGUUCACCGCCCGCCGGUGUUUAACUGGCAUGGUUCGCGGGACGUCCUGCCGGUGGCGGCGAGCCGAAGCGUUGCCCGUGCUUCGCUUCUGCUGUAGUGCGUAGGUGGCGUGGAGGCGGACCCCGAUUCAAUCCCACCGCGGUGCUCUUCAUCGAGUGUCGAGGUGGGCCGGCACGUUUACUUUGAACAAAUUAGAGUGCUUAAAGCAGGCCGGUCGCGCCUGAAUACUGUGUGCAUGGAAUAAUGGAAUAGGACCUCGGUUCUAUUUUGUUGGUUUUCGGAACCCGAGGUAAUGAUUAAUAGGGACAGUCGGGGGCAUUCGUAUUGCGACGUUAGAGGUGAAAUUCUUGGAUCGUCGCAAGACGAACCGAAGCGAAAGCAUUUGCCAAGUAUGUUUUCAUUAAUCAAGAACGAAAGUUAGAGGUUCGAAGGCGAUCAGAUACCGCCCUAGUUCUAACCAUAAACGAUGCCAGCUAGCGAUCCGCCGAAGUUCCUCCGAUGACUCGGCGGGCAGCUCUCGGGAAACCAAAGCUUUUGGGUUCCGGGGGAAGUAUGGUUGCAAAGCUGAAACUUAAAGGAAUUGACGGAAGGGCACCACCAGGAGUGGAGCCUGCGGCUUAAUUUGACUCAACACGGGAAACCUCACCAGGCCCGGACACUGGAAGGAUUG
This 811-nucleotide ribosomal RNA is filed under the name Australogryllacris sp. Gryll_AUSP. RNAcentral's name for it is "SSU rRNA". It matches the Rfam family "Eukaryotic small subunit ribosomal RNA", at positions 516 to 1242 of the family's 1831-position model. The record is from RNAcentral. Lineage: Eukaryota; Metazoa; Arthropoda; Insecta; Orthoptera; Gryllacrididae.